Molecule: transfer RNA, 72 nt
Filed under: Mesalina olivieri
Lineage: Eukaryota; Metazoa; Chordata; Lepidosauria; Squamata; Lacertidae
Description: tRNA-Ile
Source: RNAcentral
GGAUGUGUGCCUGAAUACCUAAGGGUUACUUUGAUAGAGUAAACAAUGGGGAAUAAUUAACCCCCACCUCCU